RNAcentral lists this unclassified non-coding RNA (339 nucleotides) under Hevea brasiliensis (rubber tree). Lineage: Eukaryota; Viridiplantae; Streptophyta; Magnoliopsida; Malpighiales; Euphorbiaceae. The record is from RNAcentral.
GAACACCAAAUAUAGGCAGGAAUUGCAGAAGGCCACAGCGAAAUAGUUGGACCUGCUGCGACCAUUGGUAUUUGGUAGCACCACAAAAGGAUCUCUUCUAUUUUACCUUUCAUCUUCCUCCAUAUUAAGAACAUUUUUCUCCUUUGCUUUCUUUAUUUGGAAUUGGUAUAGGCCACCACUAUACUAAGAUUACCAAAGAAAAAGAAAGCCGUACGGACAAGAAAAACUGUCGAAUCCCUUCCCCACACGGCGGCUGGAGCGCUUCUCCUAUCUUCGCAUCCUCUAACUCUUGCUUGCCGGUGGUGCAACAUAACCGCCUCUGUAAAUAACAGUAAUAUA